RNAcentral lists this ribosomal RNA (327 nucleotides) under uncultured bacterium. RNAcentral's name for it is "bacterial SSU rRNA". It matches the Rfam family "Bacterial small subunit ribosomal RNA", at positions 1180 to 1506 of the family's 1533-position model. The record is from RNAcentral.
AGACGUCAAUCAUCAUGCCCCUUAUGUCCUGGGCUACACACGUAAUACAAUGGCGGUCAACAGAGGGAUGCAAAGCCGUAAGGCGGAGCGAACCCCUAAAAGCCGUCCCAGUUCAGAUUGUGGGCUGCAACCCGCCCACAUGAAGUCGGAAUCGCUAGUAAUCGCGGAUCAGCAUGCCGCGGUGAAUACGUUCCCGGGCCUUGUACACACCGCCCGUCACACCAUGAGAGUCGGGAACACCCGAAGUCCGUAGCCUAACCGUAAGGAGGGCGCGGCCGAAGGUGGGUUCGAUAAUUGGGGUGAAGUCGUAACAAGGGUAACCGUAUA